AGCAGCAGUAAGGAAUAUGAGCUUGAGAGCGCAAGUCUGAACCAGCCAUGCCGCGUGGAGGAUGAAGGUCCUCUGGAUUGUAAACUUCUUUUAUCUGGGAAGAAAUCCAAGAUUUCUAUUUUGGUUGACGGUACCAGAUGAAUAAGCACCGGCUAACUCCGUGCCAGCAGCCGCGGUAAUACGGAGGGUGCAAGCGUUAUCCGGAUUCACUGGGUUUAAAGGGUGCG
RNAcentral lists this ribosomal RNA (227 nucleotides) under uncultured bacterium. RNAcentral describes it as "partial 16S ribosomal RNA". It matches the Rfam family "Bacterial small subunit ribosomal RNA", at positions 347 to 571 of the family's 1533-position model. The record is from RNAcentral.